This 945-nucleotide ribosomal RNA is filed under the name uncultured organism. Its description in RNAcentral is "bacterial SSU rRNA". It matches the Rfam family "Bacterial small subunit ribosomal RNA", at positions 110 to 1071 of the family's 1533-position model. The record is from RNAcentral.
GUAACACAUGGCUGACCUGCCCCUCAGAGGGGGACAACCGGUGGAAACGCCGGCUAAUACCCCAUGCUUGCGUCCGGGUUAGAGGCCGGAUGCAGAAAGGCCGAGGCGCUGAGGGAGGGGGCUGUGGACCAUCAGCUAGUUGGUAGGGUAACGGCCUACCAAGGCGAGGACGGAUAGGGGGCCUGAGAGGGUGACCCCCCACACGGGCACUGAGACACGGGCCCGACUCCUACGGGAGGCAGCAGUAAGGGAUAUUGCGACAAUGGGCGAAAGCCUGACGCAGCAACGCCGCGUGGAGGAUGAAGGCCUUCGGGUUGUAAACUCCUUUUCUGUGGGAAGAGGAAGGACGGUACCACAGGAAGAGGUCUCGGCUAACUACGUGCCAGCAGCCGCGGUAAAACGUAGGAGGCGAGCGUUAUCCGGAUUUACUGGGUGUAAAGCGCGUGCAGGCGGCCUGGUAAGUCGAGCGUGAAAGCUCCCGGCUCAACCGGGAGAGGACGUGCGAAACUGCGAGGCUAGAGACAGGUAGAGGCGUACGGAAUUCCGGGUGUAGUGGUGAAAUGCGUAGAUAUCCGGAGGAACACCAGUGGCGAAGGCGGUACGCUGGGCCUGGUCUGACGCUAAGACGCGAAAGCAUGGGGAGCGAACGGGAUUAGAAACCCCGGUAGUCCAUGCCGUAAACGAUGCUAACUAGGUGUUGCGGGUAAAAGACCGGCAGUGCCGGAGUUAACGCGAUAAGUUAGCCACCUGGGGACUACGGUCGCAAGGCUAAAACUCAAAGGAAUUGACGGGGGCCCGCACAAGCAGCGGAGCGUGUGGUUUAAUUCGAGGCUACACGAAGAACCUUACCUGGGCUUGACAUGACGGUGGUAGGGAACCGAAAGGGGACCGACCUUCGGGAGCCGUCACAGGUGCUGCAUGGCUGUCGUCAGCUCGUGUCGUGAG